UACGAAGGGGGCUAGCGUUGUUCGGAAUUACUGGGCGUAAAGCGCACGUAGGCGGAUACUUAAGUCAGGGGUGAAAUCCCGGGGCUCAACCCCGGAACUGCCUUUGAUACUGGGUAUCUCGAGUCCGGAAGAGGUGAGUGGAAUUCCGAGUGUAGAGGUGAAAUUCGUAGAUAUUCGGAGGAACACCAGUGGCGAAGGCGGGUCUCUGGGCCGAUACUGACGCUGAGGAGCGAAAGCGUGGGGAGCAAACAGG
This 253-nucleotide ribosomal RNA is filed under the name uncultured bacterium. RNAcentral describes it as "partial 16S ribosomal RNA". It matches the Rfam family "Bacterial small subunit ribosomal RNA", at positions 524 to 776 of the family's 1533-position model. The record is from RNAcentral.